GGGCGCGUAGCUCAGCUGGUUAGAGCGUUCCGUUCACAUCGGAAAGGUCCCCCGUUCGAAUCGGGGCGCGCCCACCA
This 77-nucleotide transfer RNA is filed under the name Candidatus Giovannonibacteria bacterium RIFCSPHIGHO2_01_FULL_48_47. Its description in RNAcentral is "tRNA-Val". It matches the Rfam family "tRNA". From Rfam's summary of the family: Transfer RNA (tRNA) molecules are approximately 80 nucleotides in length. The record is from RNAcentral. Lineage: Bacteria; Candidatus Giovannoniibacteriota. RNAcentral also lists the same sequence under 5 other names.